This 856-nucleotide ribosomal RNA is filed under the name uncultured bacterium. RNAcentral's name for it is "bacterial SSU rRNA". It matches the Rfam family "Bacterial small subunit ribosomal RNA", at positions 31 to 896 of the family's 1533-position model. The record is from RNAcentral.
AGACCGUGGUGGUGUGCCUAACACAUGCAAGUCGGCGGACUCAUUUUGAAGUAGCAAUACGGAGAGAUGAGUUAGUGGCGGACGGGUGAGUAACACGUAGGUAACCUACCCUUAAGUGGGGGACAACUCAGGGAAACUUGAGCUAAUACCGCAUAAGACCACGGGCUGAGAUGCCAGUGGGAAAAGGAGCGAUCCACUUAAGGAUGGGCCUGCGGCCUAUCAGGUAGUUGGUGAGGUAACGGCCCACCAAGCCAGAGACGGGUAGCCGGGCUGAGAGGUUGAACGGCCACACUGGAACUGAGAUACGGUCCAGACUCCUACGGGAGGCAGCAGUGGGGAAUAUUGCGCAAUGGGGGAAACCCUGACGCAGCGACGCCGCGUGGAGGAUGAAGGCCUUCGGGUUGUAAACUCCUUUUGUAGGGGAAGAUAAUGACGGUACCCUGCGAAUAAGCCACGGCUAACUCUGUGCCAGCAGCCGCGGUAAGACAGAGGUGGCGAGCGUUGUUCGGAAUUACUGGGCUUAAAGGGCGAGUAGGCGGUGGAGCAAGUCUGGGGUGGAAUCCUACGGCUUAACCGUAGAACUGCCUUGGAAACUGUUUUACUUGAGUCAGUGAGGGGAGGGCGGAAUUCCUGGUGUAGCGGUGAAAUGCGUAGAUAUCAGGAGGAAGGCCUGUGGCGAAAGUGGCCCUCUGGCACUGUACUGACGCUGAGGCGCGAAAGCGUGGGGAGCAAACAGGAUUAGAUACCCUGGUAGUCCACGCCCUAAACGGUGGGCAUUAGGUGUAGGUGUCGGUGGGCAUCUGUGCAGUAGGGAAACCGUUAAAUGCCCCGCCUGGGGAGUACGGCCGCAAGGUUA